AUGAAGAGGGGUAGGGGAGAAAGCUUCAACAUGCGGGAGGACGAGUUGUUGUGCGAUGCAUGGUUGGCCACUAGCCUUGAUCCUACCCAUGGCACGGAGCAAAAGGGUGGAGAUGUUUUAUAG
RNAcentral lists this ribosomal RNA (123 nucleotides) under Triticum aestivum (bread wheat). Its description in RNAcentral is "partial small subunit ribosomal RNA". Lineage: Eukaryota; Viridiplantae; Streptophyta; Magnoliopsida; Poales; Poaceae. The record is from RNAcentral.